RNAcentral lists this ribosomal RNA (490 nucleotides) under uncultured bacterium. RNAcentral describes it as "partial 16S ribosomal RNA". It matches the Rfam family "Bacterial small subunit ribosomal RNA", at positions 30 to 507 of the family's 1533-position model. The record is from RNAcentral.
AUUGAACGCUGGCGGCAGGCCUAACACAUGCAAGUCGAACGGUAACAGGAAGAAGCUUGCUUCUUUGCUGACGAGUGGCGGACGGGUGAGUAAUGUCUGGGAAACUGCCUGAUGGAGGGGGAUAACUACUGGAAACGGUAGCUAAUACCGCAUAAUGUCGCAAGACCAAAGAUGGGGACCUUCGGGCCUCUUGCCAUCGGAUGUGCCCAGAUGGGAUUAGCUAGUAGGUGGGGUAACGGCUCACCUAGGCGACGAUCCCUAGCUGGUCUGAGAGGAUGACCAGCCACACUGGAACUGAGACACGGUCCAGACUCCUACGGGAGGCAGCAGUGGGGAAUAUUGCACAAUGGGCGCAAGCCUGAUGCAGCUAUGCCGCGUGUAUGAAGAAGGCCUUCGGGUUGUAAAGUACUUUCAGCGGGGAGGAAGGGAGUAAAGUUAAUACCUUUGCUCAUUGACGUUACCCGCAGAAGAAGCACCGGCUAACUCCGUG